CCCAACAACUACAACUGCAGCCCCAACUACAACUGCAGCCCCAACAACUACAACUACAGCUUCAACACAUACAGAAAAUCCAACCAUUUAUGGCCCAGAGUAUCUGUUGCAUCUAAAUAUGAGAUUAAGAUCAUUUGGCGAGGUCAGCAACGGAACCCUAAUUGAGCUCAUUAAACAGGUUUUCAGAGACCAGCUUCUCAAUGGAACAGGACACACGGUGACUGUGCGAAGCAUUCAAAGGUUUAGAGUUAACCCAUAGAACACCAAAUUCAUUAGAUUUUUACAGCAUUUACAGCAAAUGCUGACACUAUUGUUUAAGCUACAUUUUACACAAUAGGUCACAUUAAGUGUUACUUAUAUAUAUUAUAUCUAAAACUUAUCUGAAGUUUUUAUGCUUAUUUUACAUUUUCUAUGUAUUCCGAAAGGAGAGUCCAACAAACCCAAAUUCUCUCAGUGAUAUUUGGGCUGAAUAACUUUGUCCAGGUUGUCAGUUCCAGAAUAGUUGAUACCUUUAAGUUGACACAGUUCUAUCUGAGUAUCUGAACCUUGUAUCCAUCAUCAAUUAUCGGCCCAAAAACAUGACAACUGCUGGAAGAAAUAAAGUUAUAAUGAUGAAGCUGGAAAGGUCUGGAGGUCCAAAUCCAGUACGACUGCGUUGAGGAGCCUCUCAUGGGGUGCCUGCUCAGCCACUAACCUGAUAUGUUCACACAUUCUCCUGAGGCAGGUUUCCAAGCUGUCGGUACAUUCUGUCACUUCUUGAAGCUCAACAAAAUUACAAAAAUAAGCUUUUAUUCUUGGUCUGAGGUCACAGGGAAAUGUGUCAUAAUUUAGUCAAAUUAUACUAAAUAUAACAUUCUUAGCUUUGAAUUAAGGUUUCAGAAAGUUUUCUUAUCAAUCAUCCGGCUGUUGCCAUUUUUACAUCAUAUUAAAGAUCUAUGUCAAAAAAGAGAUUGUGUAGAUUGAAUGUCUGACCAUCAUUCAGCAGUAGGUGUCUCACAAUUUCAGUGUAUAAUUCCAAGUAUAACAAAUGUUGAUUAAGACCUCUAUAUAUUUUUUAUCCCAUACAGUGACUUGUAAAUAUGUUUUUUGCUAUUAUAUUAUUACAGAGUUUAAAAAGUUGUUUAGUCGGGUUUCUUCUCUGUUUUGACAAGAUCUUUUUUUUAAUUCAUUUUGCGGUAAAUCAUUUUGUAGUGCUGUUUUAACAGGAAAAGCACAAAGCUGCUUUUGUGGUGAAAGAUGGUAACUUUCCGUGAUAUUUAUUAUACUGUAAUAAUGCUUUGACCCACACAGAUGGGUUUUCAGAUUGCAACUUUUUCCACUUUGU
Fundulus heteroclitus (mummichog) is the source of this 1324-nucleotide long non-coding RNA. RefSeq lists it as uncharacterized. Lineage: Eukaryota; Metazoa; Chordata; Actinopteri; Cyprinodontiformes; Fundulidae. The transcript is spliced from 3 exons. The record is from RefSeq and is a predicted model, not a curated record.